Molecule: unclassified non-coding RNA, 3744 nt
Filed under: Hevea brasiliensis (rubber tree)
Lineage: Eukaryota; Viridiplantae; Streptophyta; Magnoliopsida; Malpighiales; Euphorbiaceae
Source: RNAcentral
AAAUUAUACAGAAAAGGUUAUUAACAGGAACAUUUUGCCAGUCUUAAAUUGAUGACAAGCUCAGCAUAUCAAAAUUUCAAAUCGUCACUUUAUAUGAAUAGGUUAGAGGUGUACAUCAAACGCCAUUCUUCCUCUGCUACUCUCCCCAAAGAAAAAGAAUAAUGAUAAUUAAAAAAAAUAAAAAUAAAAAUUAGACAUCAAGUGCCAAAACUACGAUCUCCAGCAUCUCCAAGUCCAGGAACUAUAAAUCCUUUGUCAUUGACUGUGGGAUCAAUAAUUCCAGUGUAAACGUGAAGCCCAGGGAACUUCUCACUAAGCUUUUGAAGGGCUGGAGGAGCAGCAACUGCAGAUAUCACUUUUAUUUGUUUGUUCUCAACCCCAUGUUCCUUAAUGUGGUCAAGAGCAGCCACUAUUGUGCCACCUGUAAUCAAACAAAAAUGCCUCAAAUCAAAAGAUACAGGAAAGUGCUGGGGAAAAAAAAGGUGCUUGAAAGAUGCAACAAAAUUGUGCUAUUGAAGCAUGAAAAUUUAAGCACAAGUAAUUACAUAUUGGAUGAAUUGAGAUGAAUUUAUGAGAAAAGAAAGGCUUGAAAAUUAUUUUUUAGAAGAAAACUGAGAUUUCAUGCUGCCAUCACUCUUCUUCCUACUGGUUAUGCUGAAUUAAGUAUGAGAAGUAGUGAAUCACUGUGCAUAUAAUCUAAACUUCCCUGUCUAAUUAUCGUGUUGUACUAUAGAAUUCUUUUUCUGCUCAUUGUUCCUUUAAAUGGGGCAUAACAUAUAACAUUGUUCAAAUGAUCAAUUUGAAUGCUAAGUGAUAAGUAUAAUUUUCCAAAUUGAAGACACAGCGAGACAUUAAUAUUUGUUUUUCCCAUAUAAGUUAGCAAGGUAAUAGGUACUAGGUUCCAUUUCUUUCACAAAAUAUGUUUUCUUGGGUCAAAGGGAAAGUACAUCAAUUCUAAAGAAAUUGACUUUCAUGUUUUCAAAAUAAAAAACAAAGGCAUUUUCUAGACUUUGACAAACUCAUAAAAAGGAAAGAUAUCCAUAAAAGAACUACAAGUCAUUAGAACCACAAUUAGACUACCAACCUUUGCUGAUCAUCUCUGCCUAUCACCACCACCAGUGGUUGGCAACAGUCACUGGUGACAACCACAAUUUACUCUAUCAUUGUAUGAUUUUCUCACAUAUUCAGCAAUAAAUAGAAAAAUGAGAAAUUCUUAUAUGUUUAACAUUUUAAUUGUUUUAUUUUUUGAAAAUAAAUAUCUUCCCAUGUGAAAUACUUCCCAAUUGAUUUUCAAUAUUAUCACCAAAUAACAAAAGAUAAGUUUUUUCUUAGAAAAUAUUUUCCAUAGACAAACCACUUUUCGUGAAACAGUAUCAAUGAUGUUUUACAUCAACUUUUAGUAAAUGACCAAUGAAACUCAACCAAGCAUUAGUCCGAAUUAAUUUCAGGUUGUAGAGUCUCAAAGCUGAAUGCCCAUGUAAUGCAAGAAUGAAUAGGAUAACUAGAACAUAAUGACAUCAUAGAUUUUCUUUAUUUUGUGAAGGACCGACGUUUUUUGAGGCAGGCAACAUGAUAAGCUCCAUGAUAUUGUGAAAUGAAGAACACUAAUAAAACAAAGAUUAUCAUCAGACGAUAAAAAUAGAUAGAUGUGGAUAGGAUUUCACCCAAUAAGAAUGCAAUAUUACCCGUUGCCAGCAUGGGAUCUACCACAAAUACUCGUGACUCUUUGGGGAAUUUUUCAGGUAACUUGUUCAGAUAUAUUGUUGGUUGAAGUGUAUCCUCAUCUCCGCCUAUCCCUUAAUUUCUAUAUGGUAGGUUUUUGUUGCAGGCAAUAUUGAUGAUGCAUGUUCUGCAAGAGCAAGACCAGCUCUCAAGAUUGGAACAACCUAGAAAAUUAAUAGAAAAAAAAAAUUCAGUUAAUGACCUCAAAAGCAGCACCAAGGCUCCACUAGAUUAUACUAAUAAUAAAUAAACACACACAAAGUUACCUUGUAAGGGGGUUUUGGUUGGUGGGGGGUUGAUCAACAGUAAAGUAAAAGUAGAUAUGCACAUAAAUCAGGGGAGCAAAAAUAAUACAGUAUUAAAAAAAUUUUAAGUUUUGUAACUGGUAACCAACCGCCACAGGCUCCCUUGGAUCAAUAAAUUCAACUGAGGCAACACCCAUUGGUGACUGAAUCUGCCCGGUGAUGGUAGGCAACCAAUCCCUUGAAGCUUCAUAAAUUAAAAGCCUCCCUAACUCAGCCAAGGCAUUUCCUGCCAAAAUAGGAAAGAGAAAAAAGAUCCCAAAACAAUACUAUAAGACAUGGGAAGCAUACAGAAGGAAGAACCAUGAAUAAAAGGAUAAAAAAAUAUAAAUAAAAAUAAAAAAAGCUAGAGAAGCCAGCGAUUUUAAAAGACCAAUUUUUUGACACAAAUUGAUCCAACGGGCUAAAGCUUCCAACAGUUACUGAUCAAAGCUUAAAAGCAUAUUAUAGAAGCCAGAAAAUUUUAAUGCAGACACCCACAUCAAAAUUAUUCUUUCGAUGCAGAAGGGAAGCUACAUAGAUAUCACAUCCAUUAAAUAAUAAAAGAGUUACUCCAAAAUGGCAGGGUAACUGUUUCUUUCCCACAUAAAUAAAAAAUAGUUAAAAGAGUUAAAAAUGGCAUACAUACAAAUUUUAUGUACUUGCUGCCAAGUUAUAAACUUACAAAUAGAGCAUUCUUGGUCCGCCCAAACACAUAUAAAGACAAACAUAUAGAAAUACACUUAACUGAAAAUUGGGCAAGGAGUUUGCUCAUUCCUCAGGACUGAAACCCAGUGCUUGAUCAAGGGAUGUGGAGGCACAAACACAAGCAUUCUAUCCUCUGAAAUCGGCUUUUCCUCUGUAGCCAUGUGAGACUUCACAGUUAGAAAGCUGCACCGUGAAGGAUUAGAACACGACAUCUUUUGGGGAUUGAGAGAAAAAUAAGAAGAUGGAAGGAAAUUAAGCAUGAGAGGAGAGUUAGGGUUUCGCAGGUGACAUUUAUACGCUAAACGUGGCGUAGAAGGCGGGCACCGGAGAGAGAAAUUAAUGUGAGACGCCAUUCAUCCGGGAACUUCGAUCUGAGAGUGUAGUAGCUUAGCUAGAUUCAAGUUGUUGAGAGGUUUUAGACUACUGGGUUUGGUUUGGUCGAAGAGGGGAUGCGGAUUGUGGAUGUGACCGCCUUUUGAUCAGGACUGAACUCUGUUGGGUUUGAGUCCACGGGCUUUAACUCAAAAGUCCAAACAAUGAAAUCCAUUGGGCAAAUGAAUUGUCUGCACAGAGACAUUAGCCCAUUCCCAUGUUACAAUGGAGUUUGGAGAAGGAAGAGAGAAGGGGUUACCUCGCCGUCGCCGGAUUGUUGCUGACCUCAGAAAUCAAGUAAUGGUUUAAGGGAGCUAGGUAGGGGAAGUCACUAUAUAGUAAUGAUUUCAGAAAUCGCGGUAGUGCUAAGCAAACAACUAGCCAAUUAGGUGUACCUGAUGGGAUUGGAUUGUCAAAGUUCAUUAACUUUGCGGGUGACAAAGAACAGGAUCCAGCUAACACUUGACCCACCACCAUUCUUUAGUUUUGAUGGCCGUCAGAUUCUUGGAAUUGGCACCAGAUAACGAUGCCCUUUUGAUUUCUACGAAUAAUGUGUCGAGUGCGCCAUUCAUUCUUCAUGCAAGACACAACUUCCAAGCGCCAAGCUGCUUGCCAGAAUGAGUGCCUGUGACGUGUGCAGGCGACCAUGCUGAUGGGCUCG